RNAcentral lists this ribosomal RNA (440 nucleotides) under uncultured bacterium. RNAcentral describes it as "partial 16S ribosomal RNA". It matches the Rfam family "Bacterial small subunit ribosomal RNA", at positions 338 to 795 of the family's 1533-position model. The record is from RNAcentral.
CCUACGGGUGGCAGCAGUAGGGAAUAUUGCUCAAUGGGGGAAACCCUGAAGCAGCAACGCCGCGUGGAGGAUGACGGUUUUCGGAUUGUAAACUCCUUUUGUUAGAGAAGAUAAUGACGGUAUCUAACGAAUAAGCACCGGCUAACUCCGUGCCAGCAGCCGCGGUAAUACGGAGGGUGCAAGCGUUACUCGGAAUCACUGGGCGUAAAGGGCGCGUAGGCGGGAUAGCAAGUCAGAUGUGAAAUCCUAUGGCUUAACCAUAGAACUGCAUUUGAAACUGUUAUUCUAGAGUAUGGGAGAGGUAGGUGGAAUUCGUGGUGUAGGGGUAAAAUCCGUAGAGAUCAAGAGGAAUACUCAUUGCGAAGGCGACCUGCUAGAACAUAACUGACGCUGAUGCGCGAAAGCGUGGGGAGCAAACAGGAUUAGAUACCCGAGUAGUC